CGCCGUGCGGCAGGCCUACACAUGCAGUCGAGCGGAACGAGUUAUCUGAACCUUCGGGGAACGAUAACGGCGUCGAGCGGCGGACGGGUGAGUAAUGCCUAGGAAAUUGCCCUGAUGUGGGGGAUAACCAUUGGAAACGAUGGCUAAUACCGCAUAAUGCCUACGGGCCAAAGAGGGGGACCUUCGGGCCUCUCGCGUCAGGAUAUGCCUAGGUGGGAUUAGCUAGUUGGUGAGGUAAUGGCUCACCAAGGCGACGAUCCCUAGCUGGUCUGAGAGGAUGAUCAGCCACACUGGAACUGAGACACGGUCCAGACUCCUACGGGAGGCAGCAGUGGGGAAUAUUGCACAAUGGGCGCAAGCCUGAUGCAGCCAUGCCGCGUGUGUGAAGAAGGCCUUCGGGUUGUAAAGCACUUUCAGUCGUGAGGAAGGUAGUGUAGUUAAUAGCUGCAUUAUUUGACGUUAGCGACAGAAGAAGCACCGGCUAACUCCGUGCCAGCAGCCGCGGUAAUACGGAGGGUGCGAGCGUUAAUCGGAAUUACUGGGCGUAAAGCGCAUGCAGGUGGUUUGUUAAGUCAGAUGUGAAAGCCCGGGGCUCAACCUCGGAAUAGCAUUUGAAACUGGCAGACUAGAGUACUGUAGAGGGGGGUAGAAUUUCAGGUGUAGCGGUGAAAUGCGUAGAGAUCUGAAGGAAUACCGGUGGCGAAGGCGGCCCCCUGGACAGAUACUGACACUCAGAUGCGAAAGCGUGGGGAGCAAACAGGAUUAGAUACCCUGGUAGUCCACGCCGUAAACGAUGUCUACUUGGAGGUUGUGGCCUUGAGCCGUGGCUUUCGGAGCUAACGCGUUAAGUAGACCGCCUGGGGAGUACGGUCGCAAGAUUAAAACUCAAAUGAAUUGACGGGGGCCCGCACAAGCGGUGGAGCAUGUGGUUUAAUUCGAUGCAACGCGAAGAACCUUACCUACUCUUGACAUCCAGAGAACUUUCCAGAGAUGGAUUGGUG
RNAcentral lists this ribosomal RNA (1001 nucleotides) under Vibrio harveyi. RNAcentral's name for it is "bacterial SSU rRNA". It matches the Rfam family "Bacterial small subunit ribosomal RNA", at positions 34 to 1016 of the family's 1533-position model. Lineage: Bacteria; Pseudomonadati; Pseudomonadota; Gammaproteobacteria; Vibrionales; Vibrionaceae. The record is from RNAcentral.